CCUACGGGUGGCAGCAGUGAGGAAUAUUGGUCAAUGGGCGCGAGCCUGAACCAGCCAAGUAGCGUGAGGGAUGACUGCCCUACGGGUUGUAAACUUCUUUUAUAAAGGAAUACAGUGAGGCACGUGUGCCUUUUCGUCUGUACUUUAUGAAUAAGGAUCGGCUAACUCCGUGCCAGCAGCCGCGGUAAUACGGAGGAUCCGAGCGUUAUCCGGAUUUAUUGGGUUUAAAGGGAGCGUAGAUGAGUUGUUAUGUCAGUUGUGAAAGUUUGCGGCUCAACCGUAAAAUUGCAAUUGAUACUGGCAGUCGUGAGUACAGUUGAGGUAGGCGGAAUUCGAGGUGUAGCGGUGAAAUGCUUAGAGAUCACGAAGAACUCCGAUUGCGAAGGCAGCUUACUAAACUGCCACUGACAUUGAUGCGCGAAAGUGUGGGGAGCAAACAGGAUUAGAUACCCCUGUAGUC
This 460-nucleotide ribosomal RNA is filed under the name uncultured bacterium. RNAcentral's name for it is "partial 16S ribosomal RNA". It matches the Rfam family "Bacterial small subunit ribosomal RNA", at positions 338 to 795 of the family's 1533-position model. The record is from RNAcentral.